Non-coding RNA from Chelonoidis abingdonii (Abingdon island giant tortoise), 460 nucleotides. NCBI's taxonomy places the organism in Eukaryota, Metazoa, Chordata, Testudines, Testudinidae. The record is from the annotation of a RefSeq genome assembly.
GAUUCACACUGUCUUUCAGACUAGAGGGACAAAAAUGAUUUCACAGACUCAUCUCAUCUGGCUCCUAGUGCUCUGGAUUCAGGAUGCCACGGGACAGAUUGUGAUGACUCAGACUCCAGAAUCCCUGGCAGUGUCUCCAGGAGACAGGGUUACCAUCAGCUGCAAAGCCAGUUCCAAUGCUAAUAGCAAGAUACACUGGUAUCAACAGAAAUCAGGACAAGCUCCUAAGCUCCUUGUCUACACUGCUUCCACUCACCCCUCUGGGAUCCCAGACCGGUUCAGUGGCAGUGGAUCUGGCACUGACUUCACUUUUACAAUCAACUGGGUAGAAGCUGAUGAUGCUGGAGAUUAUUAUUGUCAACAAGCUCAAAGCUGGCCUCUCACAGUGAUACAGAGCAAUGCAAAAACCUCCCUGCUUUCUUCAGCAUCAGCUCCUCACCGUAACAGCUAUUUCCUAUAG